CUAUCUUCUCAUCGGGAUUGAUCGGUGCAGCGUGUACAUGUUCAACACAUGGCCAUACCUAUAUAGUGGUUCAAGUCUUAUUGACUUAAGCAUCUGAUAUGUGCUCUCGUAGUAUAUAUCAGCCCAAGAGGGUGCAAGCCCCGUAGGGCCAAUAGCAAUAGGUGCGGUCAGUUGUUCAUACAAGAGUCGAGUUGCUUGAAAGUGCAACUUCAAUAUGCGAGGUAGACCACUCGUAAGGCUAAAUAAUAGACUACGAUACCGAUAGCGAACAAGUACCGUGAGGGAAAGUUGAAAAGUACUUUGAAGAGAGAGUUAAAUAGGGCGUGAAACCGUUAGCUGGAAAACGUACAGAGCCACGAAGUUAUUGGUUAUAGAUUUCAGCUUGUGUCUUGAAUAAGGCACGGGUGUAUUAUCUAUAUCUAUAACACUGCUAACAAUUAGACAAGUAAACGUACGGCAUGCAAUAAUGAAUUCUAAACAAGUUAUUAUGCAGGCAUACGUUAUCUACACUGAUUGUUCGAAUUAAUAUCAUCCUAGUUUGAUGGUGUUGUGAAGGAAGAUGGCUCACGCUAGUCGUGUAGCCCUAUGCCGUAUUAUAGACUGUAUAAUAAUGCUAGUUAAUGUAAAAAGUUGGCUUGUAUGAUUUGCGGAUUAUAAUGCCAGGUAUAACAGGCUAUGCGAAGAGUUGCUAUCUACACAGCAGUGAGUAKGUCGGCUUUCUGUACGACCC
This 730-nucleotide ribosomal RNA is filed under the name Pentasetacus novozelandicus. RNAcentral describes it as "partial large subunit ribosomal RNA". Lineage: Eukaryota; Metazoa; Arthropoda; Arachnida; Trombidiformes; Phytoptidae. The record is from RNAcentral.